UGUGUGUUAGUGGAACGGUCUGGAAAGUCCGACGGUACAGGGUGAUAGUCCCGUACACCAAAAUGCACAGGUUGUGAACUCGAAGAGUAGGGCGGGACACGUGGUAUCCUGUCUGAAUAUGGGGGGACCAUCCUCCAAGGCUAAAUACUCCUGACUGACCGAUAGUGAACCAGUACCGUGAGGGAAAGGCGAAAAGAACCCCGGCGAGGGGAGUGAAAAAGAACCUGAAACCGUGUACGUACAAGCAGUGGGAGCACCUUCGGGUGUGACUGCGUACCUUUUGUAUAAUGGGUCAGCGACUUAUAUUCUGUAGCAAGGUUAACCGUAUAGGGGAGCCGCAGGGAAACCGAGUCUUAACUGGGCGUUAAGUUGCAGGGUAUAGACCCGAAACCCGGUGAUCUAGCCAUGGGCAGGUUGAAGGUUGGGUAACACUAACUGGAGGACCGAACCGACUAAUGUUGAAAAAUUAGCGGAUGACUUGUGGCUGGGGGUGAAAGGCCAAUCAAACCGGGAGAUAGCUGGUUCUCCCCGAAAGCUAUUUAGGUAGCGCCUCGUGAA
RNAcentral lists this ribosomal RNA (558 nucleotides) under Klebsiella pneumoniae. RNAcentral's name for it is "partial 23S ribosomal RNA". It matches the Rfam family "Bacterial large subunit ribosomal RNA", at positions 323 to 888 of the family's 2925-position model. Lineage: Bacteria; Pseudomonadati; Pseudomonadota; Gammaproteobacteria; Enterobacterales; Enterobacteriaceae. The record is from RNAcentral.